This 497-nucleotide ribosomal RNA is filed under the name uncultured bacterium. Its description in RNAcentral is "partial 16S ribosomal RNA". It matches the Rfam family "Bacterial small subunit ribosomal RNA", at positions 28 to 507 of the family's 1533-position model. The record is from RNAcentral.
GAUGAACGCUGGCGGCGUGCCUAAUACAUGCAAGUCGAGCGAACAGACGAGGAGCUUGCUCCUCUGACGUUAGCGGCGGACGGGUGAGUAACACGUGGAUAACCUACCUAUAAGACUGGGAUAACUUCGGGAAACCGGAGCUAAUACCGGAUAAUAUAUUGAACCGCAUGGUUCAAUAGUGAAAGACGGUUUUGCUGUCACUUAUAGAUGGAUCCGCGCCGCAUUAGCUGGUUGGUAAGGUAACGGCUUACCAAGGCAACGAUGCGUAGCCGACCUGAGAGGGUGAUCGGCCACACUGGAACUGAGACACGGUCCAGACUCCUACGGGAGGCAGCAGUAGGGAAUCUUCCGCAAUGGGCGAAAGCCUGACGGAGCAACGCCGCGUGAGUGAUGAAGGUCUUCGGAUCGUAAAACUCUGUUAUUAGGGAAGAACAAAUGUGUAAGUAACUAUGCACGUCUUGACGGUACCUAAUCAGAAAGCCACGGCUAACUACGUG